This 1416-nucleotide long non-coding RNA is filed under the name Piliocolobus tephrosceles (Ugandan red Colobus). Its description in RNAcentral is "lncRNA (ENSPTEG00000002653.1)". Lineage: Eukaryota; Metazoa; Chordata; Mammalia; Primates; Cercopithecidae. The record is from RNAcentral.
AAAAUUAACACUAAUGGUUUUACCAGUUUUGUUAAUGACGGUACCAGUUUUGUUGAUGACGGUACCAGUUUUGUUAAUGACGGUAUAGACUGUUCCAAAAGUAUGACCAAAGCUAAGAUUAAUAAAAAAAUAAAAAAAAAAUGGAAUCUAUUAAUACUGUAUAUAAAAUUCGUGAAUAAUAUAAUAGAAGAAAGUGCAAACAUAAAUGAUAUAUUAGCAUUUAAUAUUAGUUUUAUAAGAGAAAUAUAUAUAAUAGCUUAUGUGAUAAAAAGAGGUGGUUCUGUGUUGUUAAGUAGUUAUUACGGAUGUGGUUUGCAGUUGUUCAACUUGUUGGCCAAUCUUAUAUGCAUGCAUGGAGUUGUCUUUGGCGUUGGUGCUAGUUGUGGCAGUGGUGGUAGUGAUGGUAGUGACGGCAGUGAUGGUAGUGAUGGCAGUGAUGGUAGUGAUGGCAGUGAUGGUAGUGAUGGCAGUGAUGGUAGUGAUGGUAGUGAUGGCAGUGAUGGCAGUGAUGGCAGUGGUAGCAGUGAUGGCAGUGGUAGCAGUGAUGGCAGUGGUAGUAGUUGUGGCAGUGGUGGCAGUGGUGGCAAUGAUACUCCCAUAGAUUCUGAGUACUAUAAUACCCUGUUUGUUUAUAAAACUAUUUUUUCUUUUUUCUCUAUUAUUGGGUUACACAUACCAAUGGACAAUAACAACAGCUAUGUUUUUGUUUACCAAAAAAAUGGUACUGAUAAUUACCAAAAAAUAAAAGUUAAAACCAUGUCAUAUGUAGAUAUAUGGAAAAAUUGGGUUAUAUCAAACAUUUCGAGUUAUAUGUCAGAUAUAAGGAAAAACAGUAUAAGUAUCGUUCAUAAUGAUGUUAAUAGCACUACGAGCAACAACACUAGUAGCAGUGGUAAUAGCAAUAGCAAUAGCAAUAGUAAGAACGUAGAGUGCACAGAGAAUGCAGUUUUUUACUUUUUAAACUUAAUAAAAAAAAUAAUAAAAUAUAAAUACGAAAUGAUACAGACGUAUAUUCAUACGAUAUUAGUGAAUACUUGUUUUUUGAUUUUAAAAUUAUAUACUUGUAAAGAUAAAGAUUUUUUAUUUUAUUUAAACUGUAUACAUAGUAUGUUUAUGUUUCCUAUUAAUAUAACAUACCUAAUUUUUAUAAUGUUAAAAAUAUGUUCAUACUGCUUUAACUAUUUUUAUGGUCAAACCGAGAGAUUAAAACAGAUGUGUUUGUGUGUUGGUAAAAGUGACCCUAACGAAUAUAAUAGCAAUACAAACUCAGAUGAUAGUGUACUAAUAGAUAGUACAAAAACUGGUGGUAUUAUGUAUAUCAAUGGUAAUAUUAAGAUCGAAGAAAAAGUAAAUUAUAAAGACAUAGAAAGUUUUUUAAAAAAAAGUUGGAAAAGUGCAAAGGGAAUAAUUACAAAC